GAUGAAGAACGUAGCGAAAUGCGAUAAGUAAUGUGAAUUGCAGAAUUCAGUGAAUCAUCGAAUCUUUGAACGCACAUUGCGCCCGCCAGUAUUCUGGCGGGCAUGCCUGUUCGAGCGUCAUUUCAACCAUCAAGCUCCCGGCUUGUGUUGGGGACCUGCGGCUGCCGCAGGCCCUGAAAACCAGUGGCGGGCUCGCUAGUCACUCCGAGCGUAGUAAUACAUCUCGCUCAGGGCGUGCUGCGGGUUCCGGCCGUUAAAAAGCCUUAUUUACCCAAGGUUGACCUCGGAUCAGGUAGGAAGACCCGCUGAACUUAAGCAUAUCAAUAAGCGGAGGA
RNAcentral lists this unclassified non-coding RNA (335 nucleotides) under soil metagenome. RNAcentral describes it as "partial contains 5.8S ribosomal RNA, internal transcribed spacer 2, and large subunit ribosomal RNA". The stretch from base 1 to 120 matches the Rfam family "5.8S ribosomal RNA", at positions 35 to 154 of the family's 154-position model. The record is from RNAcentral.